GUGAGGAAUAUUGCGCAAUGGAGGCAACUCUGACGCAGCCAUGCCGCGUGCAGGAAGAAGGCGCUACGCGUUGUAAACUGCUUUUAACCGGGAAGAAACCCCAGGACGUGUCCUGGGUUGACGGUACCGGAGGAAUGAGCACCGGCUAACUUCGUGCCAGCAGCCGCGGUAAUACGAAGGGUGCAAGCGUUAUCCGGAUUCAUUGGGUUUAAAGGGUGCGUAGGCGGAGCGUUAAGUCAGUGGUGAAAUCCUGCAGCUUAACUGUAGACUUGCCAUUGAUACUGGCGCUCUUGAGUGCGCUUGAAGUGGGCGGAAUGUGCCGUGUAGCGGUGAAAUGCUUAGAUAUGGCACAGAACACCAAUUGCGAAGGCAGCUCACUAAGGCGAUACUGACGCUGAGGCACGAAAGCGUGGGGAUCGAACAGGAUUAGAAACCCCGGUAGUCC
Molecule: ribosomal RNA, 445 nt
Filed under: uncultured bacterium
Lineage: Bacteria
Description: partial 16S ribosomal RNA
Rfam family: Bacterial small subunit ribosomal RNA
Source: RNAcentral